Molecule: ribosomal RNA, 253 nt
Filed under: uncultured bacterium
Lineage: Bacteria
Description: partial 16S ribosomal RNA
Rfam family: Bacterial small subunit ribosomal RNA
Source: RNAcentral
UACGAAGGGUGCAAACGUUGCUCGGAAUUAUUGGGCGUAAAGCGCACGUAGGCGGCUUAGCAAGUCGAAUGUGAAAGCCCUCGGCUUAACCGAGGAAGUGCAUCCGAAACUGAGUAGCUAGAGUACGAAAGAGGGUCGCGGAAUUCCCGGUGUAGAGGUGAAAUUCGUAGAUAUCGGGAGGAACACCGGUGGCGAAGGCGGCGACCUGGGUCGAGACUGACGCUGAGGCGCGAAAGCGUGGGGAGCAAACAGG